Molecule: ribosomal RNA, 481 nt
Filed under: uncultured bacterium
Lineage: Bacteria
Description: partial 16S ribosomal RNA
Rfam family: Bacterial small subunit ribosomal RNA
Source: RNAcentral
UUGCACGCUGGCGGCAUGCCUUACACAUGCAAGUCGAACGGUAACAGGUCUUCGGAUGCUGCCGAGUGGCGAACGGGUGAGUAAUACAUCGGAACGUGCCCAGACGUGGGGGAUAACGAGGCGAAAGCUUUGCUAAUACCGCAUACGAUCUAAGGAUGAAAGCAGGGGACCGCAAGGCCUUGUGCGUUUGGAGCGGCCGAUGGCAGAUUAGGUAGUUGGUGGGAUAAAAGCUUACCAAGCCGACGAUCUGUAGCUGGUCUGAGAGGACGACCAGCCACACUGGGACUGAGACACGGCCCAGACUCCUACGGGAGGCAGCAGUGGGGAAUUUUGGACAAUGGGCGAAAGCCUGAUCCAGCAAUGCCGCGUGCAGGAUGAAGGCCUUCGGGUUGUAAACUGCUUUUGUACGGAACGAAAAGGCUCUGGCUAAUACCUGGGGCACAUGACGGUACCGUAAGAAUAAGCACCGGCUAACUACGUG